RNAcentral lists this transfer-messenger RNA (354 nucleotides) under Hyphomicrobiales bacterium. It matches the Rfam family "Alphaproteobacteria transfer-messenger RNA". From Rfam's summary of the family: Bacterial tmRNA, also known as 10Sa RNA or SsrA, is named for its dual tRNA and mRNA-like properties. Its role is to liberate the mRNA from a stalled ribosome. The record is from RNAcentral. Lineage: Bacteria; Pseudomonadati; Pseudomonadota; Alphaproteobacteria; Hyphomicrobiales.
AGGCUUCAAAUCGGGACUGCGAUGGCCUAUAUUGGCAAUUGCCGCCUCACGGCGGCUAUGGCGAUAAAUGACGGCCGCAAUAAACCAUUCGGACCCGGGGGCGGUACCCGGCGCCUCCACCUGGAACCGGACCCCCGGUUCGAGGUGGGGGCGAAAUAGGAUCGACGAGGGCGUAAAGGGUUUGUUUUUGCCCGGCAUGGUUCCACCGUUAUCGGACCACAAGCACAGUUGCCAAUGACAACUAUGCUCCGGUUGCCGUCGCUGCGUAAUGCAGCGUAAGCUUCCGAAAUCAAGCCCUUCCGCUUAGCCGCGUAAGGCGGGGUCUGGAGGCGCCCGGCAACAGAAGCCUCCGCU